CGUAGGCGGCUUAAUAAGUCAGUGGUGAAAUCCCUACGCUUAACGUAGGAACGGCCAUUGAUACUGUUAGGCUUGAAUUAUUAGGAAGUAACUAGAAUAUGUAGUGUAGCGGUGAAAUGCUUAGAGAUUACAUGGAAUACCAAUUGCGAAGGCAGGUUACUACUAAUGGAUUGACGCUGAUGGACGAAAGCGUGGGUAGCGAACAGGAUUAGAUACCCUGGUAGUCCACGCCGUAAACGAUGGAUACUAGCUGUUGGGAGCAAUCUCAGUGGCUAAGCGAAAGUGAUAAGUAUCCCACCUGGGGAGUACGUUCGCAAGAAUGAAACUCAAAGGAAUUGACGGGGGCCCGCACAAGCGGUGGAGCAUGUGGUUUAAUUCGAUGAUACGCGAGGAACCUUACCAAGGCUUAAAUGUAGAUUGACCGAUUUGGAAACAGAUCUUUCGCAAGACAAUUUACAAGGUGCUGCAUGGUUGUCGUCAGCUCGUGCCGUGAGGUGUCAGGUUAAGUCCUAUAACGAGCGCAACCCCUGUUGUUAGUUGCCAGCGAGUCAAGUCGGGAACUCUAACAAGACUGCCAGUGCAAACUGUGAGGAAGGUGGGGGAUGACGUCAAAUCAUCACGGCCCUUACGCCUUGGGCUACACACGUGCUACAAAUGGACGGUACAGAGAGCAGCCACUACGUGAGUAGGAGCGAAUCUACA
This 702-nucleotide ribosomal RNA is filed under the name uncultured bacterium. RNAcentral describes it as "bacterial SSU rRNA". It matches the Rfam family "Bacterial small subunit ribosomal RNA", at positions 570 to 1277 of the family's 1533-position model. The record is from RNAcentral.